Molecule: ribosomal RNA, 538 nt
Filed under: uncultured bacterium
Lineage: Bacteria
Description: partial 16S ribosomal RNA
Rfam family: Bacterial small subunit ribosomal RNA
Source: RNAcentral
UGGGGAAUAUUGCACAAUGGGCGCAAGCCUGAUGCAGCAACGCCGCGUGAGGGAUGACGGCCUUCGGGUUGUAAACCUCUUUUAGCAGGGAAGAAGCGAAAGUGACGGUACCUGCAGAAAAAGCACCGGCUAACUACGUGCCAGCAGCCGCGGUAAUACGUAGGGUGCAAGCGUUGUCCGGAAUUAUUGGGCGUAAAAAAGCUCGUAGGCGGUCUGUCGCGUCUGCUGUGAAAUCCCGAGGCUCAACCUCGGGCCUGCAGUGGGUACGGGCAGACUAGAGUGCGGUAGGGGAGAAUGGAACUCCUGGUGUAGCGGUGGAAUGCGCAGAUAUCAGGAAGAACACCGAUGGCGAAGGCAGUUCUCUGGGCCGUAACUGACGCUGAGGAGCGAAAGCGUGGGGAGCGAACAGGAUUAGAUACCCUGGUAGUCCACGCCGUAAACGUUGGGCGCUAGAUGUGGGGCACCAUUCCACGGUUUCCGUGUCGCAGCUAACGCAUUAAGCGCCCCGCCUGGGGAGUACGGCCGCAAGGCUAAAACU